ACACACCCAGGCUCUUUUCUGUUUGCCUGAUGCCUUCAUGCUGGUGCUAUUUGCUGUAUUUUCAGACUGAUACAAUUUCUUCAAGGCCGAUAUUCAGGUAGAGUUAGCAAAAGCUGCCAGUGAAGGAUCUCUGAAGCCAUUUUUUGGUGUGUGUCUGUUUUCCUGGGUGCAUGGAGGCUGCAUGGCAUUGUGUGCUGGAAAAGGCUCAGGAAGGCGCUUUUCCUGGCUCACUUUCCCUGUGCCUUCCGUCUUCCUGGUGUGGUGUGAUGUGAUGUCAACGCACCCGCCAUCACAUCUAUGUUUGUGGGAACAGGCAAAGAACACUCUCGAAGGGUCUUUUAAGGACGUUUCCCUGGAAGCUGUCCAGCAACACUUCUCCUUGGUCACUGACCAGGGCCUAUUUUCAUGGCCUCUGGGAACUAAAAGGAAACUCGGAGUAAUGUGGUCUUCUUCCUCGACCUUGUGUCCAAACAUGGUGCUUAGAUUUCUAUGGAAGAAACGGACGGCGGAGUCCGCCAACAGUCUGGGCACUGCUAUUUUCUAAACAAUUGGGGGCUAAAUAAACAAAUAAAUAAAAGUCCAGAUCAAAA
This is a long non-coding RNA of Mesocricetus auratus (golden hamster), 590 nucleotides long. RefSeq lists it as uncharacterized. The transcript is spliced from 2 exons. The record is from RefSeq and is a predicted model, not a curated record. Lineage: Eukaryota; Metazoa; Chordata; Mammalia; Rodentia; Cricetidae.